This 3019-nucleotide ribosomal RNA is filed under the name Dietzia papillomatosis NBRC 105045. RNAcentral describes it as "bacterial LSU rRNA". It matches the Rfam family "Bacterial large subunit ribosomal RNA". Lineage: Bacteria; Bacillati; Actinomycetota; Actinomycetes; Mycobacteriales; Dietziaceae. The record is from RNAcentral.
AGAGCACACGGUGGAUGCCUUGGCACCAAGAGCCGAUGAAGGACGUAGUAGGCUGCGAUAAGCCUCGGGGAGUUGCCAAACGAGCUGUGAUCCGAGGGUGUCCGAAUGGGGGAACCCAGCACGCGUGAUGGCGUGUUACCCGCAUCUGAAUACAUAGGGUGUGUGGAGGGAACGCGGGGAAGUGAAACAUCUCAGUACCCGCAGGAAGAGAAAACAAUAGUGAUUCCGUCAGUAGCGGCGAGCGAACGCGGAGGAGGCUAAACCGCAUGCGUGUGAUACCCGGCAGGGGUUGCGUGUGUGGUGUUGUGGGGCGCGAUGUCCUUGGUUCUGCCGGACCGGGCGCUGAUUGUUCGCGGGUUAGGGGAACGACUUGGAAGGGUCGGCCGGAGAGGGUGAGAGUCCCGUACCUGAAAACCUUGCGGCGGGGCGAUUUGUGUACCCAAGUAGCAGCGGGCCCGUGAAAUCUGCUGUGAAUCUGCCGGGACCACCCGGUAAGCCUGAAUACUCCUUGGUGACCGAUAGCGGAUUAGUACCGUGAGGGAAUGGUGAAAAGUACCCCGGGAGGGGAGUGAAAUAGUACCUGAAACCGUGUGCUUACAAUCCGUCAGAGGCCUUUUGGGCUGAUGGCGUGCCUUUUGAAGAAUGAGCCUGCGAGUUAGUGGUAUGUCGCGAGGUUAACCCGUCGAGGGGUAGCCGUAGCGAAAGCGAGUCCGAAUAGGGCGUUGUUAGUGGCAUGCUCUAGACCCGAAGCGGAGUGAUCUACCCAUGGCCAGUGUGAAGCGACGGUAAGACGUCGUGGAGGCGCGAACCCACUUAGGUUGAAAACUGAGGGGAUGAGUUGUGGGUAGGGGUGAAAGGCCAAUCAAACUCCGUGAUAGCUGGUUCUCCCCGAAAUGCAUUUAGGUGCAGCGUCGCAUGUUUCACCUCGGAGGUAGAGCUACUGGAUGGCCGAUGGGCCCUACAAGGUUACUGACGUCAGCCAAACUCCGAAUGCCGAGGUGUGAGAGUGCGGCAGUGAGACUGUGGGGGAUAAGCUUCAUAGUCGAGAGGGAAACAGCCCAGAUCGCCGGCUAAGGCCCCUAAGCGUGUACUAAGUGGAAAAGGAUGUGGGAUCGCUGAGACAGCCAGGAGGUUGGCUUAGAAGCAGCCACCCUUGAAAGAGUGCGUAAUAGCUCACUGGUCAAGUGGUCCUGCGCCGACAAUGUAGCGGGGCUCAAGUACACCGCCGAAGCCGCGGCACUCACACGUAUAUCCUCCUCCGGGCAGGUGUGUGGGUGGGUAGGGGAGCGUCGUGUGGCCAUAGAAGCGCCGGAGUGAUCCAGGUGUGGAGGCCACACGAGUGAGAAUGCAGGCAUGAGUAGCGAAUGACGAGUGAGAAACUCGUCCGCCGGAUGACCAAGGGUUCCUGGGUCAAGCUAAUCUGCCCAGGGUGAGUCGGGACCUAAGGCGAGGCCGACAGGCGUAGUCGAUGGACAACGGGUUGAUAUUCCCGUACCCGUGUAUGCGCGCCCAUGGUGAAUCAGUGAUACUAACCGCCCAGAACCACCUAGACGGUCUUCGGACCGCGUGGUGGGGAUGCGCGGGACCUGAUCUGGUAGUAGCCAAGCGAUGGGGUGACGCAGGAAGGUAGCUGGGCCAGUCAGUGGUUGUACUGGUGUAAGAGUGUAGGCCGUGACAACAGGCAAAUCCGUGUCACAUUAAGGCUGAGACUUGAUGCGUACCCGUUGUGGGGAAUUCAGUGAUCCUAUGCUGCCGAGAAAAGCCUCUAGUGAGUUCAUACACGGCCCGUACCCCAAACCAACACAGGUGGUCAGGUAGAGAAUACCAAGGCGAUCGAGAGAACUGUGGUUAAGGAACUCGGCAAAAUGCCCCCGUAACUUCGGGAGAAGGGGGACCACGCCCGGUGAGCACCUUCGCGGUGGGAGCUGGGGGUGGUCGCAGAGACCAGAGAGAAGCGACUGUUUACUAAAAACACAGGUCCGUGCGAAGACGUAAGUCGAUGUAUACGGACUGACGCCUGCCCGGUGCUGGAAGGUUAAGAGGACCGGUUAGCCGCAAGGCGAAGCUGAGAAUUUAAGCCCCAGUAAACGGCGGUGGUAACUAUAACCAUCCUAAGGUAGCGAAAUUCCUUGUCGGGUAAGUUCCGACCUGCACGAAUGGCGUAACGACUUCUCUGCUGUCUCGACCACAGACUCGGCGAAAUUGCAUUACGAGUAAAGAUGCUCGUUACGCGCGGCAGGACGAAAAGACCCCGGGACCUUUACUAUAGCUUGGUAUUGGCGUUCGAUUCGGUUUGUGUAGGAUAGGUGGGAGACUGUGAAGCAUGCACGCCAGUGUGUGUGGAGUCGUUGUUGAAAUACCACUCUGAUCGUAUUGGACGUCUAACCUCGGCCCAUGAUCUGGGUUAGGGACAGUGCCUGGUGGGUAGUUUAACUGGGGCGGUUGCCUCCCAAAGAGUAACGGAGGCGCCCAAAGGUUCCCUCAGCCUGGAUGGCAAUCAGGUGUUGAGUGCAAGUGCACAAGGGAGCUUGACUGUGAGACUGACACGUCGAGCAGGGACGAAAGUCGGGACUAGUGAUCCGGCACCGGCAAGUGGAAGCGGUGUCGCUCAACGGAUAAAAGGUACCCCGGGGAUAACAGGCUGAUCUUCCCCAAGAGUCCAUAUCGACGGGAUGGUUUGGCACCUCGAUGUCGGCUCGUCGCAUCCUGGGGCUGGAGUAGGUCCCAAGGGUUGGGCUGUUCGCCCAUUAAAGCGGCACGCGAGCUGGGUUUAGAACGUCGUGAGACAGUUCGGUCUCUAUCCGCCGCGCGCGUAAGAAACUUGCGGAAGGCUGUCCCUAGUACGAGAGGACCGGGACGGACGAACCUCUGGUGUGCCAGUUGUUCCACCAGGAGCAUCGCUGGUUAGCUACGUUCGGAAGGGAUAACCGCUGAAAGCAUCUAAGCGGGAAGCCUGUUCCAAGAUGAGGUUUCUCACCACCUUCGCGUGGUUAAGGCCCCCCACAGACCAUGGGGUUGA